UCAGCGCUGGAAAAGCGUCGACAUUGCAAAUUAAAUGCAGACACAAACCAAAUAGAAAUUGCGCUAGAUUAAUACCAAACUGAGACAUGUUAACGAUCUCAGUUGAGCUAACAGGGCCGCAAAGAUUUAAGCCUAUCUUUGAACGGUAGUAAGCAGCUCGCACAAA
Non-coding RNA from Drosophila takahashii, 166 nucleotides. The record is from RefSeq and is a predicted model, not a curated record. NCBI's taxonomy places the organism in Eukaryota, Metazoa, Arthropoda, Insecta, Diptera, Drosophilidae.